ACAUACCAAAGGAGUAAACAUCAUCUACAAGCUGGUUUAGAUCACAAAGAUCUAAACCCUAGCUUUCUCUCACUAACACAUAGUCUCUCUCUCUCUGGAAUUCACACAGAAGGAUGAACGAGUGGGAGAGAUGCACCAAGCUACAAGAGUUGCACACAGCUUUCUCUCUCUAGAAUUCACACUCGUUCAUCCUUCUGUGUGAAUUCUAGAGAGAGAGAGACUAUGUGUUAGUGAGAGAAAGCUAGGGUUUAGAUCUUUGUGAUCUAAACCAGCUUGUAGAUGAUGUUUACUCCUUUGGUAUGU
RNAcentral lists this microRNA precursor (303 nucleotides) under Helianthus annuus (common sunflower). RNAcentral describes it as "sRNA HanXRQr2_Chr05g0215931". It matches the Rfam family "MIR821 microRNA precursor family". The record is from RNAcentral. Lineage: Eukaryota; Viridiplantae; Streptophyta; Magnoliopsida; Asterales; Asteraceae.